AUACCUACCUGGCAGGAGAGAUACCAUGAUCAUGAAGAUGGUUUUCCCAGUUGAGGCUUAUUUAUUGCACUCCAAAUGUGCUGACCCCUGUGAUUUCCCAAAUGUGAGAAACUUGACUACAUGAUUUGUGGUAGUGGGAGACUGGGUUUGUGCUCUCCCCUG
Dipodomys ordii (Ord's kangaroo rat) is the source of this 162-nucleotide small nuclear RNA. Its record names the gene U1. It matches the Rfam family "U1 spliceosomal RNA". From Rfam's summary of the family: U1 is a small nuclear RNA (snRNA) component of the spliceosome (involved in pre-mRNA splicing). The record is from Ensembl. NCBI's taxonomy places the organism in Eukaryota, Metazoa, Chordata, Mammalia, Rodentia, Heteromyidae.